AGUCGCGUGCGCGGUUCCGUAGCAAUACGGGAUGGGCGCACGGCGCACGGGUGCGUAACACGUGGGCAAUCUGCCCUCCGAUGGGGAAUAACCCCGCGAAAGCGGGGCUAAUACCGCAUAACAUUCCUUGGACUAUGGUUUGAGGACUCAAAGCAGCAAUGCGUCGGAGGAGGAGCCCGCGCCCGAUUAGCUAGUUGGUGAGGUAACGGCUCACCAAGGCAAUGAUCGGUAGCUGGUCUGAGAGGAUGGCCAGCCACACUGGAACUGAGACACGGUCCAGACUCCUACGGGAGGCAGCAGUGGGGAAUCUUGCGCAAUGGGCGAAAGCCUGACGCAGCGACGCCGCGUGGGGGAUGAAGCUUUUCGGAGUGUAAACCCCUUUCGACUGGGACGAAUGCCCGCAAGGGAGUGACGGUACCAGUAGAAGAAGCCCCGGCUAACUACGUGCCAGCAGCCGCGGUAAGACGUAGGGGGCCAGCGUUGUUCGGAAUUACUGGGUGUAAAGGGUUCGUAGGCGGUGUGGCAAGUCGGGAGUGAAAUCUCUGGGCUUAACUCAGAGGCUGCUUCCGAAACUGCUGUGCUUGAGUGUGGGAGAGGCGCGUGGAAUUGCAGGUGUAGCGGUGAAAUGCGUAGAUAUCUGCAGGAACACCCGUGGCGAAAGCGGCGCGCUGGACCACAACUGACGCUGA
Molecule: ribosomal RNA, 689 nt
Filed under: uncultured Bacillota bacterium
Lineage: Bacteria; Bacillati; Bacillota
Description: bacterial SSU rRNA
Rfam family: Bacterial small subunit ribosomal RNA
Source: RNAcentral